CCAUAUGGCCCCCUAUUCCAUAUAUAGUCCCAUAUGGCCCCCUAUUCCAUAUAUAGUCCCAUAUGGCCCCCUAUUCCAUAUAUAGUCCCAUAUGGCCUCUAUUCCCUACAUAGUCCCAUAUGGCCCCCUAUUCCGUAUAUAGUCCCAUUGGGGCUCUGGUCAAAACAGGGAAUAGUUUGCCCUUUGGAACGUUGCCUGAGUCGUUUGAUUGGACGAAAAUAGACAAAGGCGACAGGAGGAUUGUGGUGAGGUCAAGAGUUCAAUGCCCCCCCAAAAAAAAAAAAAAAAGUGAAUGAAGAAAAAAUAAAUCAGAAGGACAAGGAAGUGAAACAGAAGAGACUUGUCUUCUUAGAAUCAGAUACAUUAUGACAUCAUCACAACUUAGAACCACGGCAUGACACAACCAGGAAAUGACAGCAACGCAAUACUAUGGAAACCAAAGCAGACAGAGGAGCAAGCUGAUAGGAUGAAGGGAGUAGGGGAGACCAGGAAGGGGUUUAGGUUAUAUAACUAUAUAACAGGUUAAUUAGGAUGAAGGGAGUAGGGGAGACCAGGAAGGGGUUUAGGUUAUAUAACUAUAUAACAGGUUAAUUAGGAUGAAGGGAGGAGGGGAGACCAGGAAGGGGUUUAGGUUAUAUAACUAUAUAACAGGUUAAUUAGGAUGAAGGGAGUAGGGGAGACCAGGAAGGGGUUUAGGUUAUAUAACUAUAUAACAGGUUAAUUAGGAUGAAGGGAGUAGGGGAGACCAGGAAGGGGUUUAGGUUAUAUAACAGGUUAAUUAGGAUGAAGGGAGUAGGGGAGACCAGGAAGGGGUUUAGGUUAUAUAACAGGUUAAUUAGGAUGAAGGGAGUAGGGGAGACCAGGAAGGGGUUUAGGUUAUAUAACUAUAUAACAGGUUAAUUAGGAUGAAGGGAGGAGGGGAGACCAGGAAGGGGUUUAGGUUAUAUAACUAUAUAACAGGUUAAUUAGGAUGAAGGGAGUAGGGGAGACCAGGAAGAGGUUUAGGUUAUAUAACUAUAUAACAGGUUAAUUAGGAUGAAGGGAGGAGGGGAGACCAGGAAGGGGUUUAGGUUAUAUAACUAUAUAACAGGUUAAUUAGGAUGAAGGGAGUAGGGGAGACCAGGAAGGGGUUUAGGUUAUAUAACUAUAUAACAGGUUAAUUAGGAUGAAGGGAGUAGGGGAGACCAGGAAGGGGUUUAGGUUAUAUAACAGGUUAAUUAGGAUGAAGGGAGUAGGGGAGACCAGGAAGGGGUUUAGGUUAUAUAACAGGUUAAUUAGGAUGAAGGGAGUAGGGGAGACCAGGAAGGGGUUUAGGUUAUAUAACAGGUUAAUUAGGAUGAAGGGAGUAGGGGAGACCAGGAAGGGGUUUAGGUUAUAUAACAGGUUAAUUAGGAUGAAGGGAGGAGGGGAGACCAGGAAGGGGUUUAGGUUAUAUAACUAUAUAACAGGUUAAUUAGGAUGAAGGGAGUAGGGGAGACCAGGAAGGGGUUUAGGUUAUAUAACUAUAUAACAGGUUAAUUAGGAUGAAGGGAGGAGGGGAGACCAGGAAGGGGUUUAGGUUAUAUAACUAUAUAACAGGUUAAUUAGGAUGAAGGGAGUAGGGGAGACCAGGAAGGGGUUUAGGGUCAUAGAACAUGUCACACAAUGACAAGGAAGCGAUUGAUGGGUACUUUGAGUUUCAUAGUUAAACGACCUGGAACAACGAUGGUGGAAAUGGAAAAGAGGGACGAGGUCUGUUAUCUCUGAAUGUGACUCAAAUGGCACCUGAUUCUCUACACUGUGCACUAUAUUUUCCCAUACACGGCUCAUAGGGUUCUGGUCAAAAAGUAGUGCACUAUUAUAGGGAAUACUAGUGCCAUUUGGGAAACAGCCUGGUUCUGUGGCGGUCCUCCCAGACAAUCAUCUCUUACCUCUUAUAGGCGUGCCACCUGAUUGGUCAAUGAAUGCAAAUCAGAUUAGAGAAGAAGAAGAAAUGUUAGUAGGUGGGGAGGGGAGGAAGACAGAAAGAGAGGAAGAGAGGGAAGUGGUUGGCUUUGAGAGGAGAAGAAUCACAUUAGAUACUCACAAUUAUCAGGUCAAUAAAAGAGAGAGAGAGAUGGAGAGACAGAGAGAGACAGACAGAGAUAGACAGAGAGAGAGACAAAGUGAGAGAGAGAGAGAGAGAGAGAGAAAAGUGAGAGAGAGAGAGAGAGAGAAAGAGAGAGAUAGAGACAGAGAGAGCUACAAAUAUAUAUUAUUGCAAGUGCCCUGUGUAGUUGUUGUCCAUAGGGGAGAAUCCAUAGGGUCUGGACUGGGUUGAUGUCUGGACUAGGUUGAUGUCUGGACUGGGUUGGUAUCUGGACUGGGUUGGUGACUGAACUGGGUUGGUAUCUGGACUGGGUUGGUGUCUGGACUGGGUUGGUGUCUGGACUGGGUUGGUGUCUGGACUGGGUUGGUAUCUGGACUGGGUUGGUAUCUGGACUGGGUUGGUGUGUGGACUGGGUUGGUAUCUGGACUGGGUUGGUGUGUGGACUGGGUUGGUGUCUGGACUGGGUUGAUGUCUGGACUGGGUUGGUGUUGAUGUCUGGACUGGGUUGGUGUCUGGACUGUGUUGAUGUCUGGACUGGGUUGAUGUCUGGACUGGGUUGGUGUUGAUGUCUGGACUGGGUUGGUAUCUGGACUGGGUUGGUGUCUGGACUGGGUUGGUGUCUGGACUGGGUUGGUAUCUGGACUGGGUUGGUGUCUGGACUGGGUUGGUGUCUGGACUGGGUUGGUGUCUGGACUGGGUUGGUAUCUGGACUGGGUUGAUGUCUGGACUGGGUUGGUAUCUGGACUGGGUUGGUGUCUGGACUGGGUUGAUGUCUGGACUGGGUUGGUAUCUGGACUGGGUUGGUGUCUGGACUGGGUUGAUGUCUGGACUCGGUUGAUGUCUGGACUGGGUUGGUAUCUGGACUGGGUUGGUGUCUGGACUGGGUUGGUAUCUGGACUGGGUUGGUGUCUGGACUAGGUUGGUAUCUGGACUGGGUUGGUAUCUGAACUCGGUUGGUGUCUGGACUGGGAUGGUGUCUGGACUCGGUUGGUGUCUGGACUGGGUUGAUGUCUGGACUGGGUUGGUAUCUGGACUGGGUUGGUAUCUGGACUGGGUUGAUGUCUGGACUGGGUUGGUGUCUGGACUGGGUUGGUAUCUGGACUGGGUUGGUGUGUGGACUGGGUUGGUGUCUGGACUGGGUUGGUAUCUGGACUGGGUUGGUGUUGGUGUCUGGACUGGGGUGAUGUCUGGACUGGGUUGGUAUCUGGACUGGGUUGGUAUCUGGACGGGGUUGGUGUGUGGACUGGGUUGGUGUCUGGACUGGGCUGGUAUCUGGACUUGGUUGGUGUUGGUGUCUGGACUGGGUUGGUGCCUGGACUGGGUUGGUGUGGGUGUCUGGACUGGGUUGGUGUUGGUGUCUGGACUGGGUUGGUGUCUGGACUGGGUUGGUAUCUGGACUGUGUUGGUGUUGGUGUCUGGAAUGGGUUGAUGUCUGGACUGGGUUGGUAUCUGGACUGGGUUGGUGUUGGUGUCUGGACUGGACUGGACUGGGUUGGUGUCUGGACUGGGUUGGUAUCUGGACUGGGUUGGUGUCUGGACUGGUUUGGUAUCUGGACUGGGUUGGUGUCUGGACUGGGUUGGUGUCUGGACUGGGUUGGUGUCUGGACUAGGUUGGUAUCUGGACUGGGUUGGUAUCUGGACUGGGUUGGUGUCUGGACUGGGUUGGUAUCUGGACUGGGUUGGUGUCUGGACUAGGUUGGUGUUGGUGUCUGGACUGGGUUGGUGUCUGGACUGGGUUGGUAUCUGGACUGGGUUGGUAUCUGGACUGGGUUGGUGUCUGGGCUGGGUUGGUUCUGGACUGUGUUGGUAUCUGGACUGGGUUGGUAUCUGGACUGGGUUGGUGUCUGGACUGGGUUGAUGUCUGGACUGGGUUGGUGUCUGGACUGGGUUGGUGUCUGGACUGGGUUGGUAUUUGGACUGGGUUGGUAUCUGGACUGGGUUGAUGUCUGGACUGGUUUGGUGUCUGGACUGGGUUGGUGUCUGGACUGGGUUGGUGUCUGGACUGGGUUGGUAUUUGGACUGGGUUGGUAUCUGGACUGGGUUGGUGUCUGGACUGGGUUGGUAUUUGGACUGGGUUGGUAUCUGGACUGGGUUGAUGUCUGGACUGGGUUGGUAUCUGGACUGGGUUGAUGUCUGGACUGGGUUGGUAUCUGGACUGGGUUGGUAUCUGGACUGGGUUGAUGUCUGGACUGGGUUGGUUCUGGACUGGGUUGGUUCUGGACUGGGUUGAUGUCUGGACUGGGUUGGUAUCUGGACUGGGUUGGUAUCUGGACUGGGUUGAUGUCUGGACUGGUUUGGUUCUGGACUGGGUUGGUAUCUGGACUGGGUUGGUAUCUGGACUGGG
Molecule: long non-coding RNA, 4412 nt
Organism: Oncorhynchus keta (chum salmon)
Lineage: Eukaryota; Metazoa; Chordata; Actinopteri; Salmoniformes; Salmonidae
Exons: 6
Source: RefSeq, a predicted model, not a curated record